GACGGGGGGUCCAAGCGUUGUUCGGAAUCAUUGGGCGUAAAGCGUGUGCAGGUAGUUUUGUAAGUUGGAUGUGAAAGCCCCGGGCUUAACCCGGGAAGUGCAUUCAAAACUGCAAAACUUGAGUAUGGAAGAGGGUCGUGGAAUUCCUGGUGUAGUGGUGAAAUGCGCAGAUAUCAGGAAGAACACCCGUGGCGAAGGCGGCUCUCUGGGACGGUACUGACGCUGAGACGCGAAAGCGUGGGGAGCGAACAGG
Molecule: ribosomal RNA, 253 nt
Filed under: uncultured bacterium
Lineage: Bacteria
Description: partial 16S ribosomal RNA
Rfam family: Bacterial small subunit ribosomal RNA
Source: RNAcentral